Non-coding RNA from Callorhinus ursinus (northern fur seal), 1200 nucleotides. NCBI's taxonomy places the organism in Eukaryota, Metazoa, Chordata, Mammalia, Carnivora, Otariidae. The record is from RefSeq and is a predicted model, not a curated record.
AGAGUGGGCCUUCAGAGGGCCCUGGACCCUCAUCCUCAGGGCAACAUGGCUGCCACCCAGGCAGAUGUCCCCGGAGGCUGGAUUUACGAUGGCGGUCCCCUCAGAGCAGGGGCAGGGGAGAAGUGGCCCUGUCAAGGCCAGGGAAAGGCAAAAGAAUUUCCCAACAGGCAGUGCUGGCCGAAGAGAGAGUGAGCGGCUGCCUCGGAAGGCAGGUGCCCAGCCUGGCCCCGGAAGGACACAAGCACAGGCUGACCCCAGCAGUCACUGGGGAGGAGGAGGAGGGUUCCCAAGCUGGGAUUCAGUAACCUUCACUUAUUGGUACUUUCCACAAUGUUUAAGUAGCUACAGUGGUCCAGGCACUGGGGGGACAAGCCCACAUGGGGCUUACAAUCUGGCAAGCCUGCAUUCCAGGGUUCUAGGCAGCACCCUCUGGAUGUAGGGCGAUGAAGUGGCCUCCACACCCUCCCCCGGGCCCCUGCCUGAGAUUCCACCAUUGAGCUGCUCCUUGAGGACUGAAGGUGCCAAACCGAUCGAUCAGUCUCUCCAUACGUUCUUUGCUCCGGCCCUAGCGCCUACAGCGUACCAGGCUCCAUGCACGGAACCAGGCAUCCAAAGAUGAUGGAGAUCAAGCCGUGGCCCUCAAAGGGAGCUGGGGGCUGCUGGGGAAAACAGGUGCCUGGGGCUGCCCACACCAUCCUUCCAAGACCAGCUGAAGCCCUCCUCCUACAGGAAGUCCUACCUAACCACCCCAGCCCCUUCAAGACUCCAGAGAUGUCAGAAAACAGGUGUGCUAGCCCCAAACCUCCAAAGGAGACCCAGCACCUGCUUUUGUCCUGAUCUUAAGUGCUCACAGUUGUGGCUUUUGGUGUACAGGUCUUGUGGUUGGCGGCUGGAAGUCUCAAGGGAGGGUAUAAGCUUUAGCUCUGCCGCUGGACUCCAAACUCCCCAAGCCCCCUCCCCCCCCCCCCCCCCCCCCGUCUCUCAGCUUCUGCCCAGGGACUUCCAGCCUCAUCCAGGGAUGCCAGGGAGGCCUGUAACAUCAUCCUUCUCCUUUCUCAUGAGGGAACUGAGGCUCACAGAGCUUAAGGGACAUGUCCAAGGGGCGCCCCACCACGGAAGCUCCACGAGGAAGACAGAGGCAGGCAGAAGGCUGUCAGGAGCAUUGUCUGGAUAUGACACAUCACUUUGGCUCACAUUUCA